Molecule: ribosomal RNA, 497 nt
Filed under: uncultured bacterium
Lineage: Bacteria
Description: partial 16S ribosomal RNA
Rfam family: Bacterial small subunit ribosomal RNA
Source: RNAcentral
GAUGAACGCUGGCGGCGUGCCUAAUACAUGCAAGUCGAGCGAACAGACGAGGAGCUUGCUCCUCUGACGUUAGCGGCGGACGGGUGAGUAACACGUGGAUAACCUACCUAUAAGACUGGGAUAACUUCGGGAAACCGGAGCUAAUACCGGAUAAUAUAUUGAACCGCAUGGUUCAAUAGUGAAAGACGGUUUUGCUGUCACUUAUAGAUGGAUCCGCGCCGCAUUAGCUAGUUGGUAAGGUAACGGCCUACCAAGGCAACGAUGCGUAGACGACCUGAGAGAGUGAUCGGCCACACUGGAACUGAGACACGGUCCAGACUCCUACGGGAGGCAGCAGUAGGGAAUCUUCCGCAAAGGGCGAAAGCCUGACGGAGCAACGCCGCGUGAGUGAUGAAGGUCUUCGGAUCGUAAAACUCUGUUAUUAGGGAAGAACAAAUGUGUAAGUAAAUAUGCACGUCUUGACGGUACCUAAUCAGAAAGCCACGGCUAACUACGUG